Python bivittatus (Burmese python) is the source of this 431-nucleotide non-coding RNA. The record is from RefSeq and is a predicted model, not a curated record. Lineage: Eukaryota; Metazoa; Chordata; Lepidosauria; Squamata; Pythonidae.
CUCAGGGUGCUGGCAAUGUACCAUUCCCUGGGAAAAGAAUGCGACCCUCUCCUGAAGAAGGAACGGUCUUCUAACACCAAGGUGGAACAACUUCCCGUGGCUGAGGAGAAAUAUCAGAAGAUGGCCCAGAAUCUGAUUGAGAGCAGCCUCCUCUGAAAGAACAUGAUGUGAAGCAGUUUAAGUGCUUUACUUCAGGCAAGAAAUGUCUGGCACAAUGAAGAAGCCUUCAGUCGUGAUAUGGGAAGAGGAGACAGAAAUGUCAGAAGAAUAUGAAAGAAAAGUGCCUCUUAAACAUAAGAAUAGCUUUUUAACACUCAGUAAGAGGAACUGGGAAGUUUAUAAACAGUCUUCUGUUCUGUAGUGUGUUGGAUUGUAUAUACCUGCGUUAACAUUUUAUCCCUGUAAACAUUUGCAAUUCAACUCUAAGUGAA